CCUUGGGAGCAUGGUGUGGGGGGGUAAUUUUUUACUGGCCCAGCGCAUGCUCGACGGGCCACGGCGAGUGGCUGGAAGCUCGAGGCAAUAACAGGUCUGUGAUGCCCUUUGAUGUUCUGGGCUGCACGCGCGCUACACUGACACUGGGAGCGAGUGACCUUUGCCGGGAGGCAUGGGGAAUCUUGAGAAACAGUGUCGUGCUGGGGAUGGACCGUUGGAAUUGUUGGUCCUGAACGAGGAAUUCCUAGUAAGCGCGAGUCAUCAGGUCGCGCUGAUUACGUCCCUGCCCUUUGUACACACCGCCCGUCGCUACUACCGAUUGGAUGGCUUGGUGAGGCGAGCGGAGGGUCAGUGGGGUCUUUUGGCCGCAGUGACGCGAAGCUUGGCAAACCUGGUGAUCUAGAGGAAGUAAAAGUCG
RNAcentral lists this ribosomal RNA (418 nucleotides) under Microsporidia sp. clade VIII. RNAcentral's name for it is "SSU rRNA". It matches the Rfam family "Eukaryotic small subunit ribosomal RNA", at positions 1341 to 1791 of the family's 1831-position model. Lineage: Eukaryota; Fungi; Microsporidia. The record is from RNAcentral.